Molecule: unclassified non-coding RNA, 308 nt
Organism: Erinaceus europaeus (western European hedgehog)
Lineage: Eukaryota; Metazoa; Chordata; Mammalia; Eulipotyphla; Erinaceidae
Gene: 7SK
Rfam family: 7SK RNA
About the family: 7SK was discovered as an abundant small nuclear RNA in the mid-70s but a possible function has only recently been suggested. Two independent studies have found that 7SK RNA binds the CDK9/cyclin T complex (known as elongation factor P-TEFb).
Source: Ensembl
GGAUGUGAGGGCGAUCUGGCUACGACAUCUGUCACCCCAUUGAUAGCCAGGGUUGAUGUGGCUGAUCUAGCUGGCUAGGCUGGUGUCCCCUUCCUCCCUCACCGCUCCAUGUGCGUCCCUCCCGAAGCUGCAUGCUUGGUUGAAGAGGAUGACCUUCCCGGAAUAGAGAUGGACUGGUCUUCAGUCGAGGGUAUACGAAGCUGCGUUCCCCUGCUAGAACCUCCAAACAAGUUCUCAAGGAAAUGGAGAAUUUGAGCUGGUGUGUGAGUUAAUGAGAUCACUUGGAGCUCCAGAGUCCCCUCAGCUCU